RNAcentral lists this ribosomal RNA (497 nucleotides) under uncultured bacterium. Its description in RNAcentral is "partial 16S ribosomal RNA". It matches the Rfam family "Bacterial small subunit ribosomal RNA", at positions 28 to 507 of the family's 1533-position model. The record is from RNAcentral.
GAUGAACGCUGGCGGCGUGCCUAAUACAUGCAAGUCGAGCGAACAGAUGAGGAGCUUGCUCCUCUGAUGUUAGCGGCGGACGGGUGAGUAACACGUGGAUAACCUACCUAUAAGACUGGGAUAACUUCGGGAAACCGGAGCUAAUACCGGAUAAUAUUUUGAACCGCAUGGUUCAAUAGUGAAAGACGGUUUUGCUGUCACUUAUAGAUGGAUCCGCGCUGCAUUAGCUAGUUGGUAAGGUAACGGCUUACCAAGGCAACGAUGCGUAGCCGACCUGAGAGGGUGAUCGGCCACACUGGAACUGAGACACGGUCCAGACUCCUACGGGAGGCAGCAGUAGGGAAUCUUCCGCAAUGGGCGAAAGCCUGACGGAGCAACGCCGCGUGAGUGAUGAAGGUCUUCGGAUCGUAAAACUCUGUUAUUAGGGAAGAACAAAUGUGUAAGUAACUAUGCACGUCUUGACGGUACCUAAUCAGAAAGCCACGGCUAACUACGUG